ACUUCAGAGAUUUGGUCCUCCGCAACCACCAGCGUUUUCACUGACUGUGGCAGCCGCUCGAUCCUAUUUCCUGGAAGAAAGAAAGGAAAACUCUCAUUCAAGAUUGUCAUAAAGAGUUUACCGUCCAGUUCCAUCGCGUAGUAGCUGAAAGGCGCUCUGGAUCAAGCACAAUCUCCAGCUGGAAUUAGAGCAAACGAAUGUCUGGAUGAAGAUCGUACCUGUUGGGGAUCGACCCAAGAACACCAUAAACCCCAGUGCCGCAAAGCCCGGAGCUUUAGGGUUUAAGGGAGACGAUGCCGCGAUCCUUUGAAGCGGUGUUUGCGCGCGCGCUCGAGGCAGUGGAGCGCAAGGCGGAGCACGACGACGAUCUCGACUGGCAGGCAUGGAACAAUCGCGAGGAGUGCACCGUGGGUAAGCGCUGGAGCGUCGCCAAGCUCAACCGCUACCUCGAGAUAUGGAAGCUAGGGGUGUCGUGCGUCAUGCGCCCCGGCGGCAAAGUUAUCGCCGUGGAGCGGCAGCACGAAUCCUUCGUCGCUGGGUACGUGAGGGAUAGAUUCAUGUCCAGGAGGAAUGGGAUGGAGCCUCUGGGGAGCAGGACGUGGGGACUACUCUACGUUCCAUUUGCCCAUCUCCCCAGGGGGAGCAUCAAGCUCCUCACCAUGGAAGCCUUCCAUGCCGCGCUCUACCAGCUCGAGCCCAACAAUGGCAAGUACCUGACCAAUCGCCCAUGCCCGCGCUUCAUCCUCGACAUCGGCCAGUGCCAGACGCUGCCCGAGCUCCUCUCCUACAAGGACGCCUACUUCCAUAGCCCCGGCUCCAAGGUCCAGAUCUUCCUGGCGAUCAAGUUGUACGUGAAGACGCAGCUGAGGCAGAUGGUGGCGGUGUUGCUCCACCGAUAUGGCGAUGCUAGAGCCAUCUCGUUUGGAGAGGAAGCGCUACAUCCCGUGACUGUGGCGUGGCUGGAGGAGCAGGGGAUUCCAUUGGCCGGAGUGGGACACGGCGGGGUGGAAUGCGAUCGACCAGGCAUUCCGAGCUACGAGAUCAAGCUUGACAUCGCCAAGGUGCUCGAGGGUGGGGAUGAUGUCGACACCGUUCGGGAGAAGUGUGGCGACCAUGUUACGCUGGAUCUCUACUGGGUCAAGACUGAGUUUCACAAUAGCGCUCGUUUGCAACCCAAGGGUUAACUAGCAUAUCCUAAGUAAUUAGCAGCUAGCAUAUCUCUGCGCUGGAGAAUUCCUCGCGAUUUCACCUUCUGCAGGCAGUGAAUCCAUAGGGCGUGCUGUGUUUGUGGCUUGCAUCCUCUCCAAUUAGCUGCUUUUCUCGCCCUCCUCGCCUAGGAACUCCUCUUGCUUGGAUUCCAGCGCCCAGGUUUCUGAUCUCAGUGGUUAAGUCCAGGGAAAUGAAGGAAGACUUCUUUACUUUUCUAAAGUCCAAAGAACUAAAAGAGAUAAGAGAUCUCAAAACCAACAAGCGAAACAAAAACUCAAAGUAUUUGGAAAGAA
This 1502-nucleotide long non-coding RNA is filed under the name Selaginella moellendorffii. RNAcentral's name for it is "long non-coding RNA (SMOE_LNC000543)". The record is from RNAcentral. Lineage: Eukaryota; Viridiplantae; Streptophyta; Lycopodiopsida; Selaginellales; Selaginellaceae.